Molecule: ribosomal RNA, 253 nt
Filed under: uncultured bacterium
Lineage: Bacteria
Description: partial 16S ribosomal RNA
Rfam family: Bacterial small subunit ribosomal RNA
Source: RNAcentral
UACGAAGGGGGCUAGCGUUGUUCGGAAUUACUGGGCGUAAAGCGCACGUAGGCGGCAUUCCAAGUUGGAGGUGAAAUCCCCGGGCUUAACCUGGGAAUGGCAAUGGAUACUGGCUAGCUAGAGUGUGUCAGAGGAUGGUGGAAUUCCCGGUGUAGCGGUGAAAUGCGUAGAGAUCGGAAGGAACAUCAGUGGCGAAGGCGGCCAUCUGGGACAACACUGACGCUGAAGCACGAAAGCGUGGGGAGCAAACAGG